AGAGUUUGAUCAUGGCUCAGGAUGAGCGCUAGCUACAGGCUUAACACAUGCAAGUCGAGGGGCAGCAUUUUAGUUUGCUUGCAAACUGAAGAUGGCGACCGGCGCACGGGUGAGUAACACGUAUCCAACCUGCCGAUAACUCCGGGAUAGCCUUUCGAAAGAAAGAUUAAUACCGGAUAGUAUACGAAUAUCGCAUGAUAUUUUUAUUAAAGAAUUUCGGUUAUCGAUGGGGAUGCGUUCCAUUAGUUUGUUGGCGGGGUAACGGCCCACCAAGACUACGAUGGAUAGGGGUUCUGAGAGGAAGGUCCCCCACAUUGGAACUGAGACACGGUCCAAACUCCUACGGGAGGCAGCAGUGAGGAAUAUUGGUCAAUGGGCGCGAGCCUGAACCAGCCAAGUAGCGUGAAGGAUGAAGGCUCUAUGGGUCGUAAACUUCUUUUAUAUGGGAAUAAAGUUUUCCACGUGUGGAAUUUUGUAUGUACCAUAUGAAUAAGGAUCGGCUAACUCCGUGCCAGCAGCCGCGGUAAUACGGAGGAUCCGAGCGUUAUCCGGAUUUAUUGGGUUUAAAGGGAGCGUAGGUGGAUUGUUAAGUCAGUUGUGAAAGUUUGCGGCUCAACCGUAAAAUUGCAGUUGAAACUGGCAGUCUUGAGUACAGUAGAGGUGGGCGGAAUUCGUGGUGUAGCGGUGAAAUGCUUAGAUAUCACGAAGAACUCCGAUUGCGAAGGCAGCUCACUAGACUGUCACUGACACUGAUGCUCGAAAGUGUGGGUAUCAAACAGGAUUAGAUACCCUGGUAGUCCACACAGUAAACGAUGAAUACUCGCUGUUUGCGAUAUACAGUGAGCGGCCAAGCGAAAGCAUUAAGUAUUCCACCUGGGGAGUACGCCGGCAACGGUGAAACUCAAAGGAAUUGACGGGGGCCCGCACAAGCGGAGGAACAUGUGGUUUAAUUCGAUGAUACGCGAGGAACCUUACCCGGGCUUAAAUUGCAACAGAAUAUAUUGGAAACAGUAUAGCCGUAAGGCUGUUGUGAAGGUGCUGCAUGGUUGUCGUCAGCUCGUGCCGUGAGGUGUCGGCUUAAGUGCCAUAACGAGCGCAACCCUUAUCUUUAGUUACUAACAGGUUAUGCUGAGGACUCUAGAGAGACUGCCGUCGUAAGAUGUGAGGAAGGUGGGGAUGACGUCAAAUCAGCACGGCCCUUACGUCCGGGGCUACACACGUGUUACAAUGGGGGGUACAGAAGGCGGCUACCUGGUGACAGGAUGCUAAUCCCAAAAACCUCUCUCAGUUCGGAUCGAAGUCUGCAACCCGACUUCGUGAAGCUGGAUUCGCUAGUAAUCGCGCAUCAGCCAUGGCGCGGUGAAUACGUUCCCGGGCCUUGUACACACCGCCCGUCAAGCCAUGAAAGCCGGGGGUACCUGAAGUACGUAACCGCAAGGAGCGUCCUAGGGUAAAACUGGUAAUUGGGGCUAAGUCGUAACAA
RNAcentral lists this ribosomal RNA (1483 nucleotides) under metagenome. RNAcentral's name for it is "bacterial SSU rRNA". It matches the Rfam family "Bacterial small subunit ribosomal RNA". The record is from RNAcentral.